RNAcentral lists this unclassified non-coding RNA (747 nucleotides) under Hevea brasiliensis (rubber tree). Lineage: Eukaryota; Viridiplantae; Streptophyta; Magnoliopsida; Malpighiales; Euphorbiaceae. The record is from RNAcentral.
UGGAGAAUUUGAAAAGAAAUAUGAACCGACUAUCGGCGUGGAGGUCCAUCCACUGGAUUUCUUUACCAACUGUGGAAAGAUCAGGUUCUAUUGCUGGGACACUGCUGGGCAGGAGAAGUUUGGAGGACUGAGAGAUGGAUAUUAUAUCCAUGGACAGUGUGCGAUCAUCAUGUUUGAUGUAACUGCGAGGCUUACAUACAAGAACGUCCCCACAUGGCAUAGAGAUCUUUGCCGUGUUUGUGAGAAUAUUCCUAUUGUUCUAUGUGGCAACAAGGUUGAUGUCAAGAACAGACAAGUGAAAGCAAAAAUGGUUACUUUCCAUCGAAAGAAGAAUCUUCAAUACUAUGAGAUCUCUGCUAAAAGCAACUACAACUUUGAGAAGCCGUUUCUCUAUUUGGCUAGAAAACUUGCCGGGGAUCCGAAUCUUCAUUUUGUAGAAUCUCCAGCCCUUGCUCCUCCUGAAGUUCAAAUUGACCUGGAGCAACAAAGACAGUAUGAGGCCGAGAUUAAUGCUGCUGCUGCACAGCCCCUUCCUGAUGAUGAUGACGAAGCUUUUGACUAGGAGAUGGUGCACUGUCAGCUGAGCUCCUCUAUUAAAACCUUGAGUCUCAGCUUGCAUGGAACAUAUCUUGUCCGAGUUGUUAUUUCUUCUGUUUCUGCGGUAUUGUUGGUACUGUUUGUGUGAUAAUGGAAUUGUAGUGCCCCAUGUAGCAGCACUUUGUUUUAUUGCUGAACAUAUACUUUCCG